This 1091-nucleotide long non-coding RNA is filed under the name Daphnia pulicaria. RNAcentral describes it as "uncharacterized LOC124311603, transcript variant X3". The record is from RNAcentral. Lineage: Eukaryota; Metazoa; Arthropoda; Branchiopoda; Diplostraca; Daphniidae.
GCUUAAUAUGUGAUUUAAAAAAAAAACAAAUGGCUGAUCUCAAGUUUCAGUUGUCUGAAAAGGCUAUUGAACUCCAGUGCAAGAAAAAGAAGAUUGAAGAAACUGAGAAUGCCUUGAAAGACUAGGCACUACAUUCUCAUAGCAAUGAACAGAAAGACUCGCAAAGCAGAAUACAUAUUGGCUGGCCAAGAGACCUCUCAGCGAUUAAUAUGCUGAUUUGGAAAAACAAAUUGCUGAUCUUAAGUUUCAGUUGUCUGAAAAGGCUAUUGAACUCCAGUGCUAGGAAAAGAAGAUUGAAGAAACUGAGAAUGCCUUGAAAGACUUGGCGCUACAUUCUCAUAGCAGUGAACAGUUGGCCAUUGUCGAAGAAAGAAAUCGCGAAUUUUAGGGCAAAUUUGAUGAAAAGGCCCAGGAACUUGAAGCUGCUCUGGUUUGUCUAGAGAAUUCGCAACGAUUAAAAGCCGAUCUCGAUAAGGAAGUUGCUGAUCUCAAAUGCCAGCUUAUGUCAAAGUCAAUAGCACUCCAGUAGAGCGGAUGGAAGAAGAAAUGGAGAGAGCCUUAGAUGAAUUGACACAAAAGUCUCUUAACACUGAGCGGGCAGAAUCUUGCCGAUCAUAAGUGGACAUGCCGAGACAAAAAGAAAAGUUGGAGAUAGACGCUUUGAAAACAUCCUUAAAUUUAAAGAAUUUAGAACUUGAGAGUAUCAGCGGUGAAUACGAAGAGGCCCAGAAGAUAAUAGCGUCAUCGGAAAGAAAGAUAGCCGAUCUCGAAUUAACCGUCAGCCUUCUGGAAAGAAGAUUGGAAACAGAACGUGAACAGGCUUCUUUCUCUAGCCAACAACCUGUGAUCAAGGCUGCCGUGGAACCAGCACGUUCGCUUCGGCCCAUUUUGAAGCAAACAUUUUCUUAUGUCAAACAACAGGAAUUGGCUUCACACGAUGCAAAGACACCGUUUUAGCUAUAAAAAAAGAAAGCUAAUGCUAUUGUAAGACCCUAUUUGUUGAUGUCGUGCCGUCGCAAACUUGAUGCCAUGAAUGAUAUGAAUUGAUGAUGCAAUACAAUGAAUUAUGCAAACAGCGUAUAUUUUUUUAA